GAUGAACGCUGGCGGCGUGCCUAAUACAUGCAAGUCGAGCGAACAGACGAGGAGCUUGCUCCUCUGACGUUAGCGGCGGACGGGUGAGUAACACGUGGAUAACCUACCUAUAAGACUGGGAUAACUUCGGGAAACCGGAGCUAAUACCGGAUAACAUGUUGAACCGCAUGGUUCAACAGUGAAAGACGGUCUUGCUGUCACUUAUCGAUGGAUCCGCGCCGCAGUAGAUAGUUGGUAAGGUAACGGCUUACCAAGGCAACGAUGCGUAACCGACCUGAGGGAGGGAUCGGCCACACUAGAACUGAAACACGGUCCAGACUCCUACGGGAGGCAGCAGUAGGGAAUCUGCCGCAAUGGGCGAAAGCCUGGCGGAACAACGCCGCGUGAGUGAAGAAAGUCUUCGGAUCGUAAUACUCUGUUAUUAGGGAAGAACAAAUGUGUAAGUAACUAUGCACGUCUUGACGGUACCUAAUCAGAAAGCCACGGCUAACUACGUG
This 497-nucleotide ribosomal RNA is filed under the name uncultured bacterium. Its description in RNAcentral is "partial 16S ribosomal RNA". It matches the Rfam family "Bacterial small subunit ribosomal RNA", at positions 28 to 507 of the family's 1533-position model. The record is from RNAcentral.